RNAcentral lists this RNase P RNA (326 nucleotides) under human gut metagenome. Its description in RNAcentral is "Bacterial RNase P class B". It matches the Rfam family "Bacterial RNase P class B". From Rfam's summary of the family: Ribonuclease P (RNase P) is a ubiquitous endoribonuclease, found in archaea, bacteria and eukarya as well as chloroplasts and mitochondria. Its best characterised activity is the generation of mature 5'-ends of tRNAs by cleaving the 5'-leader elements of precursor-tRNAs. RNAcentral also lists the same sequence under 2 other names. The record is from RNAcentral.
UGGAUAACUGCUGAUACGAAAGUAUUAGAGGAAAGUCCAUGCUCGCACAAGCUGAGAUGCUUGUAGUGUUUGUGCUAGAUGAAUAAAUAAGUCUAGGUAUAUGGGAGCAUAUAACGGCAGAUUGAGACCUAAGUCUUAGGAUAUGGUUAAAGUCUUGAAAGUGCCACAGUGACGUAGUCUACAAGGAAACUUGGAGAGUGGAACGCGGUAAACCCCACAAGCGAGAAACCCAAAUUUGGUAGGGGAAGCAAAGAAGGAGAAUUCAAUUCGACUUUGCAUGCAUUUGCAUAGAUAAAUAGUUGUCCUCGACAGAACAUGGCUUACAA